RNAcentral lists this ribosomal RNA (253 nucleotides) under uncultured bacterium. Its description in RNAcentral is "partial 16S ribosomal RNA". It matches the Rfam family "Bacterial small subunit ribosomal RNA", at positions 524 to 776 of the family's 1533-position model. The record is from RNAcentral.
UACGAAGGGGACUAGCGUUGUUCGGAAUCACUGGGCGUAAAGCGCACGUAGGCGGAUGUGUCAGUCAGGGGUGAAAUCCCGGGGCUCAACCUCGGAACUGCCUUUGAUACAGCACGUCUCGAGUCCGGAAGAGGUGGGUGGAAUUCCUAGUGUAGAGGUGAAAUUUGUAGAUAUUAGGAAGAACACCGGUGGCGAAGGCGGCCCACUGGUCCGGUACUGACGCUGAGGUGCGAAAGCGUGGGGAGCAAACAGG